RNAcentral lists this ribosomal RNA (534 nucleotides) under Apiomerus apicalis. Its description in RNAcentral is "partial 16S ribosomal RNA". It matches the Rfam family "Bacterial large subunit ribosomal RNA", at positions 1807 to 2613 of the family's 2925-position model. The record is from RNAcentral. Lineage: Eukaryota; Metazoa; Arthropoda; Insecta; Hemiptera; Reduviidae.
UCAAAAACAUGUCCUUUUGAUUUUAUUUAAGGUCUAGCCUGCCCAAUGAUUUUAUUUAAUGGCCGCGGUAUUUUAACUGUGCUAAGGUAGCAUAAUCAUUUGUCUUUUAAUUGAAGGCUGGUAUGAAUGGUUGGACGAGACAUAUUCUUUCUUUGAUUUAAUUUAUGAAUUUAAUUUUUUAGUUAAAAAGCUAAAAUUUAUUUGUUGGACGAGAAGACCCUAUAGAUCUUUAUAUUUAUUAAUUGUUUUAUUAAUUUGGUUAAUUUAUUAUUUAAAUCGAUUUAAAUAUUUGGUUGGGGUGACUUUAGAAUUUUAACAACUUCUAUUAUAAAUUUUCAUUUAUUUAUGUUUUAUUGAUCCAUUAUUAAUGAUUAUAAGAUUAAGUUACCUUAGGGAUAACAGCGUAAUUCUUUUGGAGAGUUCAUAUCUAUAGAAGAGUUUGCGACCUCGAUGUUGGAUUAAAAUAAGUAGUAGAUGCAGUAGUUUAUCAACUAGGUCUGUUCGACCUUUUAUUUUUUACAUGAUCUGAGUUCA